UACUGAUGUGGUGACUUCUCUGCU
This 24-nucleotide non-coding RNA is filed under the name Mus musculus (house mouse). Lineage: Eukaryota; Metazoa; Chordata; Mammalia; Rodentia; Muridae. RNAcentral also lists the same sequence under 1 other name. The record is from RNAcentral.